This 301-nucleotide ribosomal RNA is filed under the name uncultured bacterium. Its description in RNAcentral is "partial 16S ribosomal RNA". It matches the Rfam family "Bacterial small subunit ribosomal RNA", at positions 509 to 807 of the family's 1533-position model. The record is from RNAcentral.
CAGCAGCCGCGGUAAUACGAAGGGUGCAAGCGUUAAUCGGAAUUACUGGGCGUAAAGCGUGCGUAGGCGGUGAGUUAAGUCUGCUGUGAAAUCCCCGGGCUCAACCUGGGAAUGGCAGUGGAUACUGGCUCGCUAGAGUGUGUCAGAGGAUGGUGGAAUUCCCGGUGUAGCGGUGAAAUGCGUAGAGAUCGGAAGGAACAUCUGUGGCGAAGGCGACUAUCUGGGCCAACACUGACACUGAGGCACGAAAGCGUGGGGAGCAAACAGGAUUAGAUACCCGCGUAGUCCCUGUCUCUUAUAC